Molecule: regulatory RNA element, 142 nt
Rfam family: Ribosomal protein L10 leader
About the family: This family is a putative r-protein leader autoregulatory structure found in B. subtilis and other low-GC Gram-positive bacteria.
Source: Rfam
AAUUUAAAUAUCGCUAUACCGUAGACAGUAGGUGCUUUCAUAGGCUUAAUUUUCCUACCGAGGUGUAUUACCAAUAGAAGCAUUUUGCUUGUUGUUGAAUAUACAAACCUCCAUGUCUAAUUGGAGGUUUUUCUAUGACCAC